Molecule: transfer RNA, 50 nt
Filed under: Hirudo nipponia
Lineage: Eukaryota; Metazoa; Annelida; Clitellata; Hirudinida; Hirudinidae
Description: tRNA-Arg
Source: RNAcentral
AAGUAUAUACUAUUGAUUUCGACUCAAUGACAGGAACCCUCCAGUACUUA